AUCAAACCCGGUGAUAGCUGGUUCUCCCCGAAAUAUAUUGAGGUAUAGCCUCGGGAAUUGAUUAGCGGAGGUAAAGCACUGACAGGGCUAGGGGUCCUACCAGAUUACCAAACCCUAUCAAACUCAGAAUGCCGCUUAAUCGUAUCCCGGGAGUCAGACGGCGGGUGCGAAGGUUCGUCGUCAAAAGGGAAACAGCCCAGACCAACAGCUAAGGUCUCCAAAUCCAUGCUCAGUGGUGAAGGUAGUGGAACCGUUUAGACAGCCAGGACGUUGGCUUAGAAGCAGCCAUCGUUUAAAGAAAGCGUAAUAGCUCACUGGUCUAAUGGCUCUGCGCCGAAAAUGUAACGGGGCUAAGCAUGGUACCGAAGCUUUGGCAAUCUCCUUUGGAGAUUGGGUAGGGGAGCGUUCGCUGCGGGCUGAAGGUGUGUCGGAAGGCAUGCUGGACUGCAGUGAAGUGAUUAUGCUGACAUGAGUAACGAUAAAAUAUGUGAAAAACAUAUUCGCCGAAAACCCGAGGUUUCCUGGGUAAAGGUAAUCUUCCCAGGGUUAGUCGGAUCCUAAGAUGAGGGUGAAAGCCGUAAUCGAUGGAAAACAGGUUAAUAUUCCUGUACUUGUUGUGUAGCGCGAUGGAGGGACGCAGGAAGAUAGGCGGGCCGGGUGUUGGAUAUCCCGGUGCAAGCGUGUAGGAAUAUCCGGUAGGCAAAUCCGCCGGACGAAUCUGAGACGCGAGUCCGUGGGCGCAAGCCCUGAAGCCGUUGAGUCUAUGCUGCCUAGAAAAGCUCCUAAGUUUAUCCACAGCAAUCCGUACCGCAAACCAACUCAGGUGGGUGGGAUGAACAAUCCAAGGCGCUCGAGAGAACUCUGGCCAAGGAACUCGGCAAAAUAACCCCGUAACUUCGGAAGAAGGGGUGCUCUCUAGGGUGACAUGUUUAACAUAUGAAGCCCCGGGGAGCCGCAGUGAAUUGGUGGUGGCGACUGUUUACUAAAAACAUAGGUCUGUGCGAAGUCCUAAAGACGACGUAUACGGACUGACGCCUGCCCGGUGCUGGAAGGUUAAAAGGAGGGGUCAGCGCAAGCAAAGCUCCGAAUUGAAGCCCCAGUAAACGGCGGCCGUAACUAUAACGGUCCUAAGGUAGCGAAAUUCCUUGUCGGGUA
This 1155-nucleotide ribosomal RNA is filed under the name human gut metagenome. RNAcentral's name for it is "bacterial LSU rRNA". It matches the Rfam family "Bacterial large subunit ribosomal RNA", at positions 832 to 1978 of the family's 2925-position model. The record is from RNAcentral.